Molecule: long non-coding RNA, 639 nt
Filed under: Junco hyemalis (dark-eyed junco)
Lineage: Eukaryota; Metazoa; Chordata; Aves; Passeriformes; Passerellidae
Description: lncRNA (ENSJHYG00000007424.1)
Source: RNAcentral
UGCUAUGAGUCUUGAUAAAUUGGAGAAGAGCCCAAGAGAAAUUCAUCAUCCUGAGAUACAAAAGGAUUUAUUGGUUCAUGAAGAGUAAGAGGGAUCGGUGAAUUUUAACUCUGGAAUCCUCUAUGCUAAUGAUAGUCAGCUUACAGAUGAUUAAAUGUUCAGUAAUGCGCUCCACUCUCCAGAGGAUUAUUGUGAGCAGAUGUGAGCUCUGCUGUCCCUUUGGACUGACAAAGACAGAGGUUUUGUCCCAAGUUUCUUUUGAACCUGUCCUGCACCUGUUACAAGUCCUCAGUCUCCUGCAAUUUUGUGGGUCAGUCACAUGUAAAACAGCACAACUGGCUGGCAUGCUUUGCUUAUGAGGAGACACAAGAGAAGAAUCCCUCUGCUCACACCAGACCUGCAGCUGCCAAAUCCACCAAAGCACCUGAGGAGCCCCCAGGAACUGAUGGUACAGAAGGGAGGCGAUUGAGGACAGCACAGCAGCUAGCCUGCCCUCCAUCUGGGUGUGAAGAAGGCAGGGCUGGGAAAUGUCAGCAACAUCCCAGCAGGUCUGGCUCAUGGUGCCACCCUGAGGGCUUCCCCUGCCUUUGGGCAGUCCCAGCUGCUGCUGCUCACUUGACAAAGACUCAUUGUCUAUAC